GAUGAACGCUGGCGGCGUGCCUAAUACAUGCAAGUCGAGCGAACGGACGAGAAGCUUGCUUUUCUGAUGUUAGCGGCGGACGGGUGAGUAACACGUGGAUAACCUACCUAUAAGACUGGGAUAACUUCGGGAAACCGGAGCUAAUACCGGAUAAUAUUUUGAACCGCAUGGUCCAAAAGUGAAAGACGGUCUUGCUGUCACUUAUAGAUGGAUCCGCGCCGCAUUAGCUAGUUGGUAAGGUAACGGCUUACCAAGGCAACGAUGCAUAGCCGACCUGAGAGGGUGAUCGGCCACACUGGAACUGAGACACGGUCCAGACUCCUACGGGAGGCAGCAGUAGGGAAUCUUCCGCAAUGGGCGAAAGCCUGACGGAGCAACGCCGCGUGAGUGAUGAAGGUCUUCGGAUCGUAAAACUCUGUUAUUAGGGAAGAACAUAUGUGUAAGUAACUGUGCACAUCUUGACGGUACCUAAUCAGAAAGCCACGGCUAACUACGUG
Molecule: ribosomal RNA, 497 nt
Filed under: uncultured bacterium
Lineage: Bacteria
Description: partial 16S ribosomal RNA
Rfam family: Bacterial small subunit ribosomal RNA
Source: RNAcentral